CCCUUUGGGGUGUGACUGCGUACCUUUUGUAUAAUGGGUCAGCGACUUAUAUUCUGUAGCAAGGUUAACCGUAUAGGGGAGCCGCAGGGAAACCGAGUCUUAAUUGGGCGUUAAGUUGCAGGGUAUAGACCCGAAACCCGGUGAUCUAGCCAUGGGCAGGUUGAAGGUUGGGUAACACUAACUGGAGGACCGAACCGACUAAUGUUGAAAAAUUAGCGGAUGACCUGUGGCUGGGGGUGAAAGGCCAAUCAAACCGGGAGAUAGCUGGUUCUCCCCGAAAGCUAUUUAGGUAGCGCCUCGUGAAUUCAUCUCCGGGGGUAGAGCACUGUUUCGGCUAGGGGGCCAUCCCGGCUUACCAACCCGAUGCAAACUGCGAAUACCGGAGAAUGUUAUCACGGGAGACACACGGCGGGUGCUAACGUCCGUCGUGAAGAGGGAAACAACCCAGACCGCCAGCUAAGGUCCCAAAGUCAUGGUUAAGUGGGAAACGAUGUGGGAAGGCCCAGACAGCCAGGAUGUUGGCUUAGAAGCAGCCAUCAUUUAAAGAAAGCGUAAUAGCUCACUGGUCGAGUCGGCCUGCGCGGAAGAUGUAACGGGGCUAAACCAU
RNAcentral lists this ribosomal RNA (607 nucleotides) under Salmonella enterica subsp. enterica serovar Nagoya. RNAcentral's name for it is "partial 23S ribosomal RNA". It matches the Rfam family "Bacterial large subunit ribosomal RNA", at positions 582 to 1190 of the family's 2925-position model. Lineage: Bacteria; Pseudomonadati; Pseudomonadota; Gammaproteobacteria; Enterobacterales; Enterobacteriaceae. The record is from RNAcentral.